GGCUUCCUGUGUCCAGUCUGCCUCUAUUGGGCAAGUUUAUUGAGAUGAUGGUGAAGAGAGAACCCUGGCUGUAGCCCUCAGCAUUCCUGGACGUCUGACUAUGGACUUGUCUUCAUUAGGGAAAAAAAGUGCAGGACUGAGAGCCAGGAGACUGAACAGAUCCUGCAAUGUAGCUGCCCCUGCCAACGUGUCUCAGCCCUGAACUGGAAGAAUUACUCCCAGACAGAUAAAAAGCUAUCACCCAUCCUGGGAGCAACAAACAAAACAGAACAAAACCAAAUUCUCCUCAUCUUUACCACUGCUUUUUCUAAAUGAUUCAAUCCAGCCUACAGAGGAAGAGAUAAUUUGGAUAUUUAAUCAACCAAACAGAUCUGCACCUUAGUCCUUUAAAAAAAAAAUCUUUCCACCCCACCCAUCUCCCAAAAAGAAACUAUGUGUGAGUGAGUACUGGUGGUGCUGCUGCUGCUGGUGGCUCUGAAGCCGUGUAGAAUUUCGUAAUGGAAUGUGAACUGCUCAUCCGGAUCUGGGCUCGCGUUCUGUCUUCUACCCAGUAAGGAGCAGGGGAGGAUAAAUCUGCUGAGCAAGGAGAAAUACUCUCCUCCUCUUUUAUAACCCAUCAAGGAUGCAUUGCAGAGCACAGGAAGAUAAUGUAAUUCAGAGGUAAAAAAAAAAAAAGGGAGGGAGGGAGGAGAGAGAAGGAGCCAGAGGAAACUUAUCAACGACAUGACAAAGUUCAAUCCACCACCCUCCCCUCCCUUCUCUAAAAAGUUUAAGCAUCUCCAACUAGUCUCCGUCUCCGUCUCCCCUACUCUGCCCGACAACAAGAUGCGUCUGUAUCGGGAGCACGAUGUUGCACAACUAGAAAACUGAAGUUGAGUACAGAACACAAGCCACGCUUCCCACUGCUGCUUCUCCCUCCCAGCACCCAUAUUACAGUGUGUAACAAGUCCAACUCUGGACAUGGUGCC
This is a long non-coding RNA of Mauremys mutica (yellowpond turtle), 968 nucleotides long. RefSeq lists it as uncharacterized. NCBI's taxonomy places the organism in Eukaryota, Metazoa, Chordata, Testudines, Geoemydidae. The record is from RefSeq and is a predicted model, not a curated record. The transcript has 3 exons.